CUUGUUUUUUCAAUUUCUCUGGGCAUAUGAAAAUGAUUUUUGUACCAGGAACAAUUUUAGUAGUCUGAUAAGGCAUCCCGCCACGGACUCGAAUUUAAUGAGUGCCCGGUUUGAUCUAUCACGCACCAUUUCUCCGAAAACGUGCUGGGUUUAACCAAGAAGAGUCUGCUUGACUGCUCCCGCGAAUAUGGAUUGAUGUAGAUGCUAAACGUUGUUCUGCGGCUGGUACAUUUCAUGUGAUCACGUAUGUGGGACAUCGUGUCGAACUUAUUCUGAAACAAUUCGGACGUUCGCGAAAAAAUUUUAAAACAUCACGCGUCAAUUCUAUUUGAUACUCUAAUUGAAAUCGUCAAAUUUGUUCGCAUCGGCGCGUUUUUCAGCCCCAAGUGGUAUCAAUGUUGUCUGGCAAUGGUGUGCAAGGAGAACGUGGUAUCAUGGUUUGGAAAUCUGUCCAGUUAUAAACGCAUUGAUGUGAUGUGCACACUAUUAAACAUGUGCCUGCCGUUUGAAAUACGGUAUAUUGGGGCCUGUGUCGAGGAGCGCGGAAAGCGGGAUUACAAUGAUCUACGUGAUACAGAGCAUCACGCAAACAGUAUCACAGAACUCACUGAACUGACUGCACAAAGUGUUAUCGAAAAGCAAACAAGGAGAAAACUUGUGCUUUAUAUGGCACUUCUGCAAUCGUGCAACUAUGCUUGUGCGGUAGUGUUGUACAAAAAUUUAGCAAAUUUGGACAUUCAAGAGGUAAUAAAUUUGUUGAACGAGACUAGCUCAAAUCAAGAUGACCAACCUCUAGAAGAGCUUCUUCUGCUCUAUGCCAUGGCACUCAAUCAUCCCGCAUUCACGUAUGACCAGAAGAACACAUUUGGUAACAUCUUUGUUAAGCUGCAGGAGGAAGAGGCACGUCUUAAUAAUGCUAAAUCCAGUGCCUUGGCUAUUCACAAAUCCACCCAAAGUUGUUUGCCUUGCGUACCUAAUGAUCGCACCGUCGAGGCUGAAAUUCCAACCAAUUGUAUGGCCCCUCCGUCAAUGAAAAAUUACCCUGGUGAAAUGCAAAUGCGUGGAAACACAAUCUAUACAGGUAUUCUUCCGGCUGCAAGUUUGCAACCACCUGUUCUGUGUUUGCCCUCACCAGAACAAGUGUCUAUGGGAACAGGCAUAGGAACACAAUACAUUCACCUCGGUUUUUCGACAAUGAACCAGGUGCAGCCAUGGACAGGUCAGGUAUUGAUGAGUAAUCCGUUGAUGUAUCACACAGGUGACGUUUUUGCUUAUCCACCUUCUCCUUUAGUCAGUCGGCAAUCAUCACCUUCCCAAUCUCGAUCUCCUAGUCGCAACAACUCGCCAACGCGCAGGAAUAGCACGAUACGUACGUCCGGCCAGGACUCUCAACCUACGUCCAAUAUCUUAACUACAUCAACGAGUUCGUCUAGUAAUCAAACGAAUAUGUCGAGUUCAAACAACUCUUCCUUACCUCCUCUUCCGUCAGCUACCAUGAACAGGAAAUUUCCUAGUCAACAACCCUUACUCCCACCGCGAUCCAACCCUCCGCUAAUUACUAGUACAAUCUCCUAUAUUCAUCAUAAUAGUAUUGAAAUGUCAUCUGCCCAUGGUUCACCUUUAUCUUCAAAGCAGCCACCACUAACUCCUCGGUUGAGGUCGUCUGUCUCUGGUGACUCUCUAAGAGAAGCUCUCGGGAAAGAGAUGCCGAACUUCAAGGGAAACUUGCAGAACUAUUCACUUGAUGAGAUCAGACGAAUGAGCGAUGAAGACCUAAGAGAAAUUGGGUUAACGUCAAAUGCAAUUGGACAAUUAAGGAAUAUCGUGAAAAGUCAAACUUCCAACGGCUCAAAUCAGCUGGCAGGUGAGAAACAGUUGGAUAGUCCUAAUAACCCAAGGAAUAUUGGAGACCAGAUGGAAAGUAAGUUGGUGCCUGGAUUGGACGUCAGUGACGCCAAUAUGAAUGUCAAAUCAAUGCCAAUGCAAGAACAUCAACCGAUUGCUCACCAUCAAGGUCAUGCUACCGUACCAAGCAUGCGACGUUAUCCAACAAUGCCACCCAUGGAUCCUCCGCAAAUGCAGAUGUACACUACGCCUCCUCCCAUGUACGCAGCUCAAAGUGCCCCGUGCUACGCAUGUCUCACAGUUCCACAGUUUCAGAACCGCUAUUCUAGGUGUGACGCUCAGCACGUGUACUGCUUGGGUCAACUUCAGGCCCUGAGAUUGGAACCUGAAAGCAAUAGGCACUGCUCACAAAGUAGCAGUUCAGAAAGUACAGGGAGUCGUUCACCACCUGAAACUCCACCAGCGGCACCAUGGGUUGGUGGUUUAGAAACAUCCAUGCCACCUAUUACCGACAACCUCGGUUUGAUACAGCUUCAUUCCGUUGCGCCGAAUAAUCCUCCGCAACCCUUGCCACCUUCGGAGAGGCCGCGACACAGGAAAAGUCAAACGCAUGUGGUGCGCCAUAAAAACCAAGUGGUUAACGGAUGUGGACCUCCGAAGGUGCAUCAUUGUAUGUCCUUCCCUGCGCCACCUCCUCAUUCCCAGGUUGCGUAUCUACCACACGGGCAUUAUCCAGCUCUGCGACCAAGUGUUGGCCUUUACACGAAUUUUUCGCCGGCGGCUUACGCGCGUCCUGCAUUCCCUCCCACGUAUCAGCCUAAUGGAGAGAUGCUGUACCCUUAUCACGGGCAUCCAGGCUCCGGAGGCACGCCGCCGCCACUUCAGAAUGCAGUACCGCUACCUCAAUCUAACAUGCCGCCUACACCGGUGGUAACCUAUACGCCUGCCGUUCCACCUGCAAAGAUAUCGUGUUACAACUGCGGCAGCAAUAAUCACCUCGCCACUGAUUGUAAGGAUCUUACUAUGGAGGACCUCACUAAAAGAGAAAAAAGAAUGAAGCAGCAGGAAAGAUGCGCCGGACCGAUCCUUCGGUUUUCAGUCGAGUCCACGAAGAAGAACAUUUGGGGUAAUAGAUGAAGAAAGAAGAAGACGAGGAAAGAAAUAGUGAAAAUUGGUGAAUUGGGAGUUGUAUAAGAAUCAGACGAGCAACGGAAGCUGAUAAGAAAAAAGAAAAACGUAUAAGCAGGAAGUAGGAAAGAAAAAAAAGGCCGAGAACCCCCUGAUUGAGAAAAAGCAAUUGCAAUGAAGAAGUCCGUCUCCCCACUAGUAGUCUAUCGCCUAUAUUCUGCAGGCACAAUAAAUUUUGAAAAGACUCAACAGAUUAUAUUCAGCUUUGUGAAGAACAAUUUCAUUAACCAGCCAGUUGAAACGAUGGCUCUGCUGUUAUUCAUCGAAAAUGCUGUUAAUGAAAUGAAUAAUGCCAUUUUCCAGUAAAGCUUUGCUGAAUAUGAAACCAAUGUCAGAAAACGACAAAAGUGUUUUGUUGUAUUCAUAAAAAAGGACAUUGCAGAUUUCGGGAAGACAUUAUUUUUGAAGUGCACAAUGUACAAUAAAGUGUUGGAAAGUAAAAUUGUCUGUCGAAAUGAAGAGAAUUAUUAGUGACUUAGUUUCAGUUUCCAAUGAUCCUUAAAUUGCCAAAGCCAUAUGUUACAAUAUGGAGGAAGAACAAUUACCAAAUACAUAGCGGGAGGUACAUGCGGCGGAAAAGCGACAAGUUGGAGAAAGAAAGGAGUACGCCGAAACUGAUGAGAAUCGAAGAAGUAUGGAUAAUAAAUUAAGGAAAGAAAGAAGAAAGUGACAAUCAAAGAAACAGACAUUUCGGAAAAAACUGAAAGCGGUGAAGAAGUCAUCUUAUAUAUUUCUGUAAGUCUGUUGAUACAAAUAUUAUCUUUUAUGAUUGAAAAUGCAACUGCUUCGUUAAAAAGUUAUAAUCUUUUUCAGUUAAGGAUUUAGUGUUUAUCGCCAAUUCAUGUUUUGUCAGUAAAUAGUGUAAGAACUUGGUGGAGGCUUGAAAUGCUUUAGUAAAAAAAAGGAAUUUAGUUAAAGGUUUACUAUGUUAGUUAAUUCAUUUUGAUAUUCGGAAAGUACCAUAUUGUGUUAAUUUAAAAAAAAUAGUUUGAAGGGAAAAUUGCACCGGUCAGAUUGUGGUUGAAAAUGUAAGGGUGACAUUCCAAUAUUUAUUAAAGGAAAUUUAACAUGAGAGCGAAAGAACAUUCUGUACGAUCUAAAUCACCAUUUAAAGAUCAAACAAGUAAAUGUAUCGCUAUUCAUUGCAAAUGAAGUAUGUCUCAUUGUCGUGUUCGAGCUUCAUAUUAUAGGUUGCAGUAAUUCUGCGAAGUUUUCUUCCAAUCGGAUGAAUGAAAAAGAAAUUGUGAAUAUUGGACAUUACACGUGAUAAUUCUCAAUUCCAUGUCAAAAACGGCAACGUCAACAUUGCCACUUGUAAUCGGAUUCACGUAUACAUUUUAAGAUAACUUCUUUACACCCAGGCGGAAAAAUUAGAUAAACUUUAUAUAUAGUGUGAAUUUUUAUAUAUAAUAUUCAUUUUUUUAUACAAAAAAUGUAUAAAACAAAAGAAUAUUCUAUAUAAAACUUUACAUUAUAUAGAAACUAUAUAUAAUAUUUCCACCUGGGCAUCUUUACCAAGAACUUUCCCACUGCAACUUUUCCGUUCCUCAAAAGACGACUUUUGUACUAUUUUACAUAAAAAACUGGGGCUUCUAUUCGUACGAAUUUUUGUUCCAAAAAAGCUGCAAGAAAAAGGACCCACUCUUGCUGAAAAGGAACCGAUAAUGACAAAUGGUGUCUGAAGGAACCCAAAGUAUGGAUUACAAUGGUUAUAAUAGAGCCUUUUCAUCAUCCAGCUUGACUCACUUCAAACAUUGUAGAAGUUAAUGAUGCACAUUGUACUUAAUAAUUUGGAUUAAAUCACAUUUAACGGGUAAAAAGUAAACUACUCAUGUACCAAAAACGUGCGAGACUAUUAACCAUUAUAUAAUAUGCAGUAAUUUUUUUUUAAGAAGAUGGGUAUUUCGAUUAUCUAAUUUUAUUUGUUUUACACAAAAACAAAAAAAAAGUUUGAUCAUAUUUAUCUGUAUAAUUAUUUAUAGCAUUUCUUAAUUUCGAUUAGACCUGCGAUUUUCUGCCCAUGCGCAGUUGCGAACAUCGGCACCCGUGAACGGCCAUCAAUCGGCUAUCAAAGUAGUAAAAAGGAACCCUCCAAAAAACUGUUACCUCAGAACCUAAGUUUUAAAGGAUGCCAACUUUUACUUCAGCUACAAUAUUACUGAAGCCUCAGUUUUUUUAUGUGUUCCUACUACUUUUCUACAUUAUGUUCAACACUAUUGUAUGAAAUUUAUAUUGAAUUGAUUUCUGUACCCAAACUGGGAUUGCUUUUUUAAAU
Molecule: RNA transcript, 5308 nt
Organism: Belonocnema kinseyi
Lineage: Eukaryota; Metazoa; Arthropoda; Insecta; Hymenoptera; Cynipidae
Gene name: histone-lysine N-methyltransferase SETD1B
Exons: 11
Source: RefSeq, a predicted model, not a curated record